Molecule: unclassified non-coding RNA, 299 nt
Filed under: plant metagenome
Description: partial contains 5.8S ribosomal RNA, internal transcribed spacer 2, and large subunit ribosomal RNA
Rfam family: 5.8S ribosomal RNA (bases 1-105)
Source: RNAcentral
GAAAUGCGAUAAGUAAUGUGAAUUGCAAAAUUCAGUGAAUCAUCGAAUCUUUGAACGCACAUUGCGCCCCCUGGUAUUCCGGGGGGCAUGCCUGUUCGAGCGUCAUUUCACCACUCAAGCCUCGCUUGGUAUUGGGCGACGCGGUCCGCCGCGCGCCUCAAAUCGACCGGCUGGGUCUUUCGUCCCCUCAGCGUUGUGGAAACUAUUCGCUAAAGGGUGCCGCGGGAGGCCACGCCGUAAAACAACCCCAUUUCUAAGGUUGACCUCGGAUCAGGUAGGGAUACCCGCUGAACUUAAGC